This 77-nucleotide transfer RNA is filed under the name Anaerolineae bacterium. Its description in RNAcentral is "tRNA-Val". It matches the Rfam family "tRNA". Rfam says of the family: Transfer RNA (tRNA) molecules are approximately 80 nucleotides in length. The record is from RNAcentral. Lineage: Bacteria; Bacillati; Chloroflexota; Anaerolineae.
GGGCGGGUAGCUCAGUUGGUUAGAGCACACGGUUGACAUCCGUGAGGUCGCAGGUUCAAGUCCUGUCUCGCCCACAA